Molecule: ribosomal RNA, 450 nt
Filed under: uncultured bacterium
Lineage: Bacteria
Description: partial 16S ribosomal RNA
Rfam family: Bacterial small subunit ribosomal RNA
Source: RNAcentral
GUGGGGAAUAUUGGACAAUGGGCGAAAGCCUGAUCCAGCCAUGCCGCGUGUGUGAAGAAGGUCUUCGGAUUGUAAAGCACUUUAAGUUGGGAGGAAGGGCAGUAAGUUAAUACCUUGCUGUUUUGGCGUUACCGACAGAAUAAGCACCGGCUAACUUCGUGCCAGCAGCCGCGGUAAUACGAAGGGUGCAAGCGUUAAUCGGAAUUACUGGGCGUAAAGCGCGCGUAGGUGGUUUUGUAAGUUGGAGGUGAAAUCCCCGGGCUCAACCUGGGAACUGCCUCCAAAACUGCAUGACUAGAGUACGGUAGAGGGUAGUGGAAUUUCCUGUGUAGCGGUGAAAUGCGUAGAUAUAGGAAGGAACACCAGUGGCGAAGGCGACUACCUGGACUGAUACUGACACUGAGGUGCGAAAGCGUGGGGAGCAAACAGGAUUAGAAACCCUGGUAGUCC